RNAcentral lists this ribosomal RNA (336 nucleotides) under uncultured bacterium. RNAcentral's name for it is "bacterial SSU rRNA". It matches the Rfam family "Bacterial small subunit ribosomal RNA", at positions 335 to 662 of the family's 1533-position model. The record is from RNAcentral.
ACUCCUACGGGAGGCAGCAGUGGGAAUAUUGCACAAUGGGCGCAAGCCUGAUGCAGCCAUGCCGCGUGUAUGAAGAAGGCCUUCGGGUUGUAAAGUACUUUCAGCAGUGAGGAAGGCGGGUACGUUAAUAGCCGUGCUCGUUUGACGUUAGCUGCAGAAGAAGCACCGGCUAACUCCGUGCCAGCAGCCGCGGUAAUACGGAGGGUGCGAGCGUUAAUCGGAAAUUACUGGGCGUAAAGCGCAUGCAGGUGGUUUGUUAAGUCAGAUGUGAAAGCCCGGGGCUCAACCUCGGAAUAGCAUUUGAAACUGGCAGACUAGAGUACUGUAGAGGGGGUA